UAGUAGUCUGUCCUGGACCUGUGGCCAUCCCCUCCCACAGGGCACCGUCACUUUCCACAUGGGGAAUCCUAACUACAGAGGAAACAGAUAAGGAGGCAGGAAACAUAACCUACAAAGAGAAAAUCGUAACAAAACGUGACAAAAGAGCACUGUAAAGCUCACUGAACAAGCAGAGUGAACAGCCCCGCAGCACAC
Lontra canadensis (Northern American river otter) is the source of this 195-nucleotide long non-coding RNA. RefSeq lists it as uncharacterized. The record is from RefSeq and is a predicted model, not a curated record. NCBI's taxonomy places the organism in Eukaryota, Metazoa, Chordata, Mammalia, Carnivora, Mustelidae. The transcript has 3 exons.